Bactrocera neohumeralis is the source of this 2214-nucleotide long non-coding RNA. RefSeq lists it as uncharacterized. Lineage: Eukaryota; Metazoa; Arthropoda; Insecta; Diptera; Tephritidae. The record is from RefSeq and is a predicted model, not a curated record. The transcript has 3 exons.
UUAAUAAUUUUGCUGUCGGAUCCCUGACUACGCAAAAGUGGUAAAAUAACUUUGAUAAUAUUAUAAAUCAUGCUGGAAAUUUAUCUUGGAGUAGUUUCGCUAAUUCUCCAGUAGUCCUAAUUAUUCUUUAUUUCGGUCCUUUCCGUGUUGGGCGCCAAUUAUUUCUCCAGUCCUACUGGCUGUUGUCCAGGAAAUAAAUUUUAAACUUUAACUUUCACAAUUUAAUAAUUUUUAUUAAGCAAUUUGUUUCUCCAGUCCUACGUGCUGUUGUCCACGAAAUAAACAUUAAAUUUUAACUUUUACAAUUUAAUAAUCUUUACUAAGCACUAUGUGCUCUUCUUAAAGUCUCGCUUAAGACUAAAACAAAAAAAUGUGAGCCCUGUCUGAUUCCCUAUGCUUGGCACAAUUUCGGCAAUUCUGCUGUUACUGCACCUGAUACUUUUGUUGUUGUCUAGCUGCACCUGCUGUUGUUGUUGUCGUUUAGACAACAGGUGAAUCGCUGCUACCGCGUUGAUAUUGGAGUAGCGAAGAAUUUGCCAGUAGAUGAGAAAAUGCUGACGCGGACUAUUCCCACGCUAACUGGCUGGUGUGGACUAGCUCUAAGAACGCUACAGUGGGCAGACUAGCAGACUAAUGUGUUAACUUAUAUGUACAUAUGCGUUACAAAGUCAUCCCGAAGUUCGAAAAUUUUAUAUUAAGUAAAUUGGUCCGAUUCAACUUAUUUUUGACAUAUAGACAUACAAUUAUAAGAAAAGAAUUAUCCCUUAAUUUUAGUUAUAUAUAUCACACAUUGACCGAGAUUUUCGAUCAAAAGCCAAGUAUACGGAUCUAAAUAUUUAGUACCUAGGAGCUUGAACAGGUUUUGUUGGGUUUAAACAAUUUUUGGUCACAAGGUGGCACAUACUAAAGACAUUAUUCGUGCAAAGUUUUAUCCAUUUAUAAUAAUUGCUUCUUGAUUUGUGUACUGGAAACGGAACGAAUCAAGUGGAAUUUAGAAUUGUAUAUAUGGAAAGUAGGAGGGUUAUCCCCCGAUUUCAUCCAUUUGUAUACUGUUGGUAGAAGUUCUUAUCAGAUUUAUACUUGUUAGAGAGCGUGGCCACCCCCAUUUUUCUUUUUAAAUUUUUGUCCACAAGUGCCCAUUGCUACUGUGAUCCUCUGUACCAAAUUAAAGCUUUAUAGUAUCUUAAUUUUGUGCUUAGUUAUGACACUUUAUAUGUUUUCGGUUAAGGGCGAUUAGUGAACGUGUAAGUGGUCCGAUUACACCCAUCUACAAACUCGAAUUUUCUUUGUAUUCUAAGGAACCCACAAACUAAGUUUCAUCGAGAUGUCUCAAUUUUUACUCAAUUUACAGAUUGCACGGACGGACGGACAGACAGACAGUCAAUCGGAUUUCAACUUUUCUCGUCGUCCUGAUCAUUAUAUAUACAUAACCCUAUAUCUAUCUCGCUUAGUUUUAGGUGAGACGUACAACCGUUAGGAGAACAAAACUGUUAUAUUCUGCAGCAACUGGAUGCAAGAGUAUAAAAAUUAAACUAUAUUUCGUUACAUGCCGACAUAACGUCCGAACCACAGUGCGGAAUGACGUAUUUGAACAGCUACACCCGUAAGCACAAUCUGGCUAUUUCGUGUAACAAAUAAGAUCCCUUUUUAUAUCAGCAAACUACGUUUGGGAAGUUUUCCGACUUCCAAAAUCUUUGUGCUGGGACCUCAUCCACCAACUGAAGCCAUAUGAUCAACAGCAAACCUCGAUUCUGUUUGAACUUCGGCAAUGGCUCCUACCAGUGUUGCGUUGGAAAUUGAUAUUUUUCAUUGAUGAGCCAAUCCAGCGUUUCCCGUAGCAUUGAACAAAUUUCUAAAUUGGUGGUGGAUUGGUGUAUUCUGUUGAAGAAUACAAUAGAGUUAAGACUGAGUGAAUUGUAGUCCAAUUUGAAAGAAAAUAAAUCGCUCUAGAACAAUUUUAUUCCAGAUUCUAUUCGAAAAUUCCGUUCGUUCGAGCUUUCAAUCUACACGGACGUGUUUUCAAGCGCUCCGUAGAAACUUUCGAAAAAAAACAAAAAUAAAAAUAAAACAAAAUAAACAAAUAUUAAAAAAGUGCAUUAAGUGCAAGCGUUAGCCAAUAACGCCGAAAGUGCAAAUCAAAACAUAAAAAAUCAUAAACUGUUUACAAACAAUAAACAUAAUAAAAUAACAAAUAAUAAGUGGGAAAUAAAACAA